AGUGUUUGCCUUUGGAGUGCAAGUGGUGAAGUUGAAAUAGUUAUCAGUAUCUUUUCUUUUUUUCUCUUUUGGAAUCCGUGUUUCUUCCGAAUCUCGAGGACGAGUUUCAUUUUAAGGGUGUAGAAUUGUAACACCCUAAAAUUUACGCCUUUUCAAAUAUAGAUAAAAUUAUUUAAUUUUAUAUUUUUGUGCUCAGAAAAUAUAGGAAAAAUAAUAUAUUUUUUAAAAUUAAAAUUUAUCAUAAGGCCUAGCAAUAUUAUUAUGCAUACAUGGUGGUGCAUAUGUUUUGAUGUGAUGCUUGUUGCUCCUUUAUGUGUU
Molecule: long non-coding RNA, 318 nt
Filed under: Sorghum bicolor (sorghum)
Lineage: Eukaryota; Viridiplantae; Streptophyta; Magnoliopsida; Poales; Poaceae
Description: long non-coding RNA (SBIC_LNC008740)
Source: RNAcentral